CCCUGAUCACUCCGCUAGCGCCAGAGCUGUUGGGACUUUGGCAUCGUGUCUGCAGCUGCAUUGGCGCCUGGCUGCUUCACAGCUGGAGGAGACCCAGUGCCUGAACCAGGAGCCUAACGGCCCUUCGCCUUCAUAUCAGGCAGCCACCUUGCUCUCAGGGAAGGCUGCAGGGGUAACACCGCCGCCCUCGGAAAUUGGGAUUGAACUCACAUUACCAUGGAACUACAUACCCAGCCCUUCAUGUAUUUUUUUUGAGAUGGGAUCUCACCACGUUGCCCAUGCUGGACUAGAACUUGGGAUCCUCCCGCCUCCACCAUCCACAUAGCAGAGACUGCACAUGCUUGCCACUGCAAAGAUAGAAAACAAAAUUGAUUUUACAUUGGACACUUUUUGCUUUAAACUAGGGAUUGCACUCCAUCUCUCUGGUUGGAUCAUUUCAAUAGAAGUCUCUACUCUCACUGACUUACUGUCCUCAGGAAAACAGGUGGAAGUGUCCAUUCCAGGCUGUGGGGAGAAGGUGACACAUGUGCAGCAAGUCACCAUGCCACCAUCAUUCCCUUCAGCUCCGUGCAUACAGAGCACAGUCCAGGAGUAGAAGGAGCCCACACCUGGCCCACAGCCUCAGCAGAAUGUUGCUCCUUGCCUUGGACAUGGCCCCACAUGUGCUGUAUACUCAUCUGGAGCAGCCUUAGUCCCUUUGCUCCUCUGAGUCCUACAGGACUGCAAGAGCCAAACAUGCCUUUCCAGGUGAGUGUUUGGAAAUGAACUUGUAAACAUAGAACUUCUAAGGAUGUCCUUUCUCUCAGUCCUGCAGAGGCUUAAGAUAAUGGAUUCUGCCUCUUAUUUGGUAAACAGGUUGGUUUACAAAGGGUGUUCAUAGGGAUCGGGCUGCACACCAUUUUAGAGGUAGACAUUUCUAUUGUGGCACAAAUGGUGUACUUAUGUCAGCUGCCUAUAAGUGCAACAAUUAGUUCUUGAAGUGUUUAGUAUAUUUUAAUUUCAUUGUGAAAACUGGACAUUUUUAAGGGAAGUAAAAAUCUUAAGGAAAAACAUAAUAAUCCAGUCAUUCAACAGACUGGUUUACUUGAAAUAAAUUCAAAAGUAAAAAUAGCAACAGUUUUCCCCUACUGGGAUAGAAAAGUUACCUGCAUACUUCUAAAUUAUA
This is a long non-coding RNA of Sciurus carolinensis (gray squirrel), 1165 nucleotides long. RefSeq lists it as uncharacterized. The transcript has 3 exons. The record is from RefSeq and is a predicted model, not a curated record. Lineage: Eukaryota; Metazoa; Chordata; Mammalia; Rodentia; Sciuridae.